Sphaeramia orbicularis (orbiculate cardinalfish) is the source of this 269-nucleotide long non-coding RNA. RefSeq lists it as uncharacterized. The transcript has 3 exons. Lineage: Eukaryota; Metazoa; Chordata; Actinopteri; Kurtiformes; Apogonidae. The record is from RefSeq and is a predicted model, not a curated record.
CUGUUCUCACAAUCUUGUGAAACGUCAUCAGUCGGGGCCCUAGUACUGUUCCAUUUCAAAGUUCACACAAAUCAAGAAUGCAUGGAAUACCCGGAUGAUAUUCUUGUCUGCUAGCUUAAACCCCGGAUGCACUGGUUAGUGACUCAUGUAGACUUGGCUGGCAAAUAUCCUGAGAUGCACUUCGUGCUACUCUCGAAUGCAACGGCAGCUUCUGUGAUAACUUAAUUCAGACAUGUUUUACUGAGUAGAUGACUGGUACUCAACCUUUG